GGGCCUGUGAGGUAACUAGCAAUGUGGCCUGAAGCCCUGUGGAUGUCUUACAAGCCUGCCUAAACUGGAAGGAGCAGGGGUCCUUGGCUUUUUUCCCUGCUUUUGGCUAUCCUUUCUGCAUGAACUUCACCAUUUAGUCAUGGACAAAGAUUUAGAUUUUGAUGCAAAUGAGCGGUUGCUUGUCACAAUUAUGAUCACGUGGACGGUACUGCUGUUGUUCCUGAUAAUAUUCUUCAUAAAACUAUGUGUUGCUUUCUACUAUUUUGUUCGUAGAAGGCGCAACUUUUACAGCAUACUUUAAACAGAAUGUGGCCGCUUUGGAUACAGCCACAUAUCAACAUUGGUGGAAAACAUCAAAUUCACAGGCAAAUAUGAAAUCUAAAUAAAAAGAUCUCACCAUCAA
This is a long non-coding RNA of Rattus norvegicus (Norway rat), 403 nucleotides long. RefSeq lists it as uncharacterized. The record is from RefSeq and is a predicted model, not a curated record. NCBI's taxonomy places the organism in Eukaryota, Metazoa, Chordata, Mammalia, Rodentia, Muridae.